UAAUCAUGGAGUAUAAAAAUUAAAUUUAAUAAAUUUAAUAUAACUAUUAAUAGAAUUAGGUUACUAAUAAAUUAAUAACAAUUAAUUUUAAAACCUAAAGGUAAACCUUUAUAUUAAUAAUGUUUUUUUUUUAUUAUUUUUAUAAUAAGAAUAAUUAUUAAUAAUAAUAAACUAAGUGAACUGAAACAUCUAAGUAACUUAAGGAUAAGAAAUCAACAGAGAUAUUAUGAGUAUUGGUGAGAGAAAAUAAUAAAGGUCUAAUAAGUAUUAUGUGAAAAAAAUGUAAGAAAAUAGGAUAACAAAUUCUAAGACUAAAUACUAUUAAUAAGUAUAGUAAGUACCGUAAGGGAAAGUAUGAAAAUGAUUAUUUUAUAAGCAAUCAUGAAUAUAUUAUAUUAUAUUAAUGAUGUACCUUUUGUAUAAUGGGUCAGCAAGUAAUUAAUAUUAGUAAAACAAUAAGUUAUAAAUAAAUAGAAUAAUAUAUAUAUAUAUAAAAAUAUAUUAAAAUAUUUAAUUAAUAUUAAUUGACCCGAAAGCAAACGAUCUAACUAUGAUAAGAUGGAUAAACGAUCGAACAGGUUGAUGUUGCAAUAUCAUCUGAUUAAUUGUGGUUAGUAGUGAAAGACAAAUCUGGUUUGCAGAUAGCUGGUUUUCUAUGAAAUAUAUGUAAGUAUAGCCUUUAUAAAUAAUAAUUAUUAUAUAAUAUUAUAUAAAUAUUAUAUAAAGAAUGGUACAGCAAUUAAUAUAUAUUAGGGAACUAUUAAAGUUUUAUUAAUAAUAUUAAAUCUCGAAAUAUUUAAUUAUAUAUAAUAAAGAGUCAGAUUAUGUGCGAUAAGGUAAAUAAUCUAAAGGGAAACAGCCCAGAUUAAGAUAUAAAGUUCCUAAUAAAUAAUAAGUGAAAUAAAUAUUAAAAUAUUAUAAUAUAAUCAGUUAAUGGGUUUGACAAUAACCACUUUUUAAUGAACAUGUAACAAUGCACUGAUUUAUAAUAAAUAAAAAAUAAUAUUUAAAAUCAAAUAUAUAUAUAUAUAUAUAUUUGUUAAUAGAUAAUAUACGGAUCUUAAUAAUAAGAAUUAUUUAAUUCCUAAUAUGGAAUAUUAUAUUUUUAUAAUAAAAAUAUAAAUACUGAAUAUCUAAAUAUUAUUAUUACUUUUUUUUUUUAAUAAUAAUAAUAUGGUAAUAGAACAUUUAAUGAUAAUAUAUAUUAGUUAUUAAUUAAUAUAUGUAUUAAUUAAAUAGAGAAUGCUGACAUGAGUAACGAAAAAAAGGUAUAAACCUUUUCACCUAAAACAUAAGGUUUAACUAUAAAAGUACGGCCCCUAAUUAAAUUAAUAAGAAUAUAAAUAUAUUUAAGAUGGGAUAAUCUAUAUUAAUAAAAAUUUAUCUUAAAAUAUAUAUAUUAUUAAUAAUUAUAUUAAUAAUAUAUAUAAUUAUAUUAUAUAUUUUUUUUAUAUAAUAUAAACUAAUAAAGAUCAGGAAAUAAUUAAUGUAUACCGUAAUGUAGACCGACUCAGGUAUGUAAGUAGAGAAUAUGAAGGUGAAUUAGAUAAUUAAAGGGAAGGAACUCGGCAAAGAUAGCUCAUAAGUUAGUCAAUAAAGAGUAAUAAGAACAAAGUUGUACAACUGUUUACUAAAAACACCGCACUUUGCAGAAACGAUAAGUUUAAGUAUAAGGUGUGAACUCUGCUCCAUGCUUAAUAUAUAAAUAAAAUUAUUUAACGAUAAUUUAAUUAAAUUUAGGUAAAUAGCAGCCUUAUUAUGAGGGUUAUAAUGUAGCGAAAUUCCUUGGCCUAUAAUUGAGGUCCCGCAUGAAUGACGUAAUGAUACAACAACUGUCUCCCCUUUAAGCUAAGUGAAAUUGAAAUCGUAGUGAAGAUGCUAUGUACCUUCAGCAAGACGGAAAGACCCUAUGCAGCUUUACUGUAAUUAGAUAGAUCGAAUUAUUGUUUAUUAUAUUCAGCAUAUUAAGUAAUCCUAUUAUUAGGUAAUCGUUUAGAUAUUAAUGAGAUACUUAUUAUAAUAUAAUGAUAAUUCUAAUCUUAUAAAUAAUUAUUAUUAUUAUUAUUAAUAAUAAUAAUAUGCUUUCAAGCAUAGUGAUAAAACAUAUUUAUAUGAUAAUCACUUUACUUAAUAGAUAUAAUUCUUAAGUAAUAUAUAAUAUAUAUUUUAUAUAUAUUAUAUAUAAUAUAAGAGACAAUCUCUAAUUGGUAGUUUUGAUGGGGCGUCAUUAUCAGCAAAAGUAUCUGAAUAAGUCCAUAAAUAAAUAUAUAAAAUUAUUGAAUAAAAAAAAAUAAUAUAUAUUAUAUAUAUUAAUUAUAAAUUGAAAUAUGUUUAUAUAAAUUUAUAUUUAUUGAAUAUAUUUUAGUAAUAGAUAAAAAUAUGUACAGUAAAAUUGUAAGGAAAACAAUAAUAACUUUCUAAAAAAUAAUUAUGGAAAGAAUUAAAUUAAUAUAAUGGUAUAACUGUGCGAUAAUUGUAACACAAACGAGUGAAACAAGUACGUAAGUAUGGCAUAAUGAACAAAUAACACUGAUUGUAAAGGUUAUUGAUAACGAAUAAAAGUUACGCUAGGGAUAACAGGGUAAUAUAACGAAAGAGUAGAUAUUGUAAGUUAUGUUUGCCACCUCGAUGUCGACUCAACAUUUCCUCUUGGUUGUAAAAGCUAAGAAGGGUUUGACUGUUCGUCAAUUAAAAUGUUACGUGAGUUGGGUUAAAUACGAUGUGAAUCAGUAUGGUUCCUAUCUGCUGAAGGAAAUAUUAUCAAAUUAAAUCUCAUUAUUAGUACGCAAGGACCAUAAUGAAUCAACCCAUGGUGUAUCUAUUGAUAAUAAUAUAAUAUAUUUAAUAAAAAUAAUACUUUAUUAAUAUAUUAUCUAUAUUAGUUUAUAUUUUAAUUAUAUAUUAUCAUAGUAGAUAAGCUAAGUUGAUAAUAAAUAAAUAUUGAAUACAUAUUAAAUAUGAAGUUGUUUUAAUAAGAUAAUUAAUCUGAUAAUUUUAUACUAAAAUUAAUAAUUAUAGGUUUUAUAUAUUAUUUAUAAAUAAAUAUAUUAUAAUAAUAAUAAUUAUUAUUAUUAAUAAAAAAUAU
Molecule: ribosomal RNA, 3085 nt
Filed under: Saccharomyces cerevisiae (brewer's yeast)
Lineage: Eukaryota; Fungi; Ascomycota; Saccharomycetes; Saccharomycetales; Saccharomycetaceae
Rfam family: Bacterial large subunit ribosomal RNA
Source: RNAcentral